GUCUUUUUGUAAGUAUAAAAAGUCCGGUCUGCCCACUGAUGAGUAUAUUAAAGGGCCGCAGUAUUUUAACUGUGCAAAGGUAGCAUAAUCAUUAGUUCUUUAAUUGAGAUCUUGAAUGAAUGAUUAGACAAAAAAAUUACUGUCUUUAUAAUAAUAAUUGAAUUUAACUUUUAAGUGAAAAGGCUUAAAUAAUUUGAAGUGACGAUAAGACCCUAUAAAGCUUAAUAUUAUUAUAAAAUUUUUGGUAAGUUAGAUAUAAAAUUUUAAGGUUUAUUAAUAUUUUAUUGGGGCGAUAGAAGUAAAAAGUUUAAUAACUGCUUUUUUUUUAAUCAAGUAUGAAUGGUUAGUGUGUAAAUGAUCUUAUUUUAUAGAGUAAAAGAUUAAGUUACUUUAGGGAUAACAGCGUUAUUUUUCUUAAGAGUUCUUAUCGAAAGAAAAGAUUGCGACCUCGAUGUUGAAUUAAAAUAUCUAUAUAAUUGUAGUAGUUAUAUGAGAAGGUCUGUUCGACCUUUAAAUUUUUACGUGAUUUGAGUUCAGACCGGUUUAAACCAGGUCGGUUUCUAUCUUUUAAUUAAAUUGUAAUUAUUUUA
This 590-nucleotide ribosomal RNA is filed under the name Opecarcinus sp. SET12. RNAcentral's name for it is "partial ribosomal RNA". It matches the Rfam family "Bacterial large subunit ribosomal RNA", at positions 1831 to 2667 of the family's 2925-position model. The record is from RNAcentral. Lineage: Eukaryota; Metazoa; Arthropoda; Malacostraca; Decapoda; Cryptochiridae.